AAUGGGUCAGCGACUUAUAUUCUGUAGCAAGGUUAACCGAAUAGGGGAGCCGAAGGGAAACCGAGUCUUAACUGGGCGUUAAGUUGCAGGGUAUAGACCCGAAACCCGGUGAUCUAGCCAUGGGCAGGUUGAAGGUUGGGUAACACUAACUGGAGGACCGAACCGACUAAUGUUGAAAAAUUAGCGGAUGACUUGUGGCUGGGGGUGAAAGGCCAAUCAAACCGGGAGAUAGCUGGUUCUCCCCGAAAGCUAUUUAGGUAGCGCCUCGUGAAUUCAUCUCCGGGGGUAGAGCACUGUUUCGGCAAGGGGGUCAUCCCGACUUACCAACCCGAUGCAAACUGCGAAUACCGGAGAAUGUUAUCACGGGAGACACACGGCGGGUGCUAACGUCCGUCGUGAAGAGGGAAACAACCCAGACCGCCAGCUAAGGUCCCAAAGUCAUGGUUAAGUGGGAAACGAUGUGGGAAGGCCCAGACAGCCAGGAUGUUGGCUUAGAAGCAGCCAUCAUUUAAAGAAAGCGUAAUAGCUCACUGGUCGAGUCGGCCUGCGCGGAAGAUGUAACGGGGCUAAACCAUGCACCGAAGCUGCGGCAGCGACACUAUGUGUUGUUGGGUAGGGGAGCGUUCUGUAAGCCUGUGAAGGUGUGCUGUGAGGCAUGCUGGAGGUAUCAGAAGUGCGAAUGCUGACAUAAGUAACGAUAAAGCGGGUGAAAAGCCCGCUCGCCGGAAGACCAAGGGUUCCUGUCCAACGUUAAUCGGGGCAGGGUGAGUCGACCCCUAAGGCGAGGCCGAAAGGCGUAGUCGAUGGGAAACAGGUUAAUAUUCCUGUACUUGGUGUUACUGCGAAGGGGGGACGGAGAAGGCUAUGUUGGCCGGGCGACGGUUGUCCCGGUUUAAGCGUGUAGGCUGGUUUUCCAGGCAAAUCCGGAAAAUCAAGGCUGAGGCGUGAUGACGAGGCACUACGGUGCUGAAGCAACAAAUGCCCUGCUUCCAGGAAAAGCCUCUAAGCAUCAGGUAACAUCAAAUCGUACCCCAAACCGACACAGGUGGUCAGGUAGAGAAUACCAAGGCGCUUGAGAGAACUCGGGUGAAGGAACUAGGCAAAAUGGUGCCGUAACUUCGGGAGAAGG
This 1129-nucleotide ribosomal RNA is filed under the name Escherichia coli. Its description in RNAcentral is "partial 23S ribosomal RNA". It matches the Rfam family "Bacterial large subunit ribosomal RNA", at positions 614 to 1746 of the family's 2925-position model. The record is from RNAcentral. Lineage: Bacteria; Pseudomonadati; Pseudomonadota; Gammaproteobacteria; Enterobacterales; Enterobacteriaceae.